Molecule: ribosomal RNA, 1696 nt
Filed under: Escherichia coli
Lineage: Bacteria; Pseudomonadati; Pseudomonadota; Gammaproteobacteria; Enterobacterales; Enterobacteriaceae
Description: partial 23S ribosomal RNA
Rfam family: Bacterial large subunit ribosomal RNA
Source: RNAcentral
GGGUUGUGAGGUUAAGCGACUAAGCGUACACGGUGGAUGCCCUGGCAGUCAGAGGCGAUGAAGGACGUGCUAAUCUGCGAUAAGCGUCGGUAAGGUGAUAUGAACCGUUAUAACCGGCGAUUUCCGAAUGGGGAAACCCAGUGUGUUUCGACACACUAUCAUUAACUGAAUCCAUAGGUUAAUGAGGCGAACCGGGGGAACUGAAACAUCUAAGUACCCCGAGGAAAAGAAAUCAACCGAGAUUCCCCCAGUAGCGGCGAGCGAACGGGGAGCAGCCCAGAGCCUGAAUCAGUAUGUGUGUUAGUGGAAGCGUCUGGAAAGGCGCGCGAUACAGGGUGACAGCCCCGUACACAAAAAUGCACAUGCUGUGAGCUCGAUGAGUAGGGCGGGACACGUGGUAUCCUGUCUGAAUAUGGGGGGACCAUCCUCCAAGGCUAAAUACUCCUGACUGACCGAUAGUGAACCAGUACCGUGAGGGAAAGGCGAAAAGAACCCCGGCGAGGGGAGUGAAAAAGAACCUGAAACCGUGUACGUACAAGCAGUGGGAGCACGCUUAGGCGUGUGACUGCGUACCUUUUGUAUAAUGGGUCAGCGACUUAUAUUCUGUAGCAAGGUUAACCGAAUAGGGGAGCCGAAGGGAAACCGAGUCUUAACUGGGCGUUAAGUUGCAGGGUAUAGACCCGAAACCCGGUGAUCUAGCCAUGGGCAGGUUGAAGGUUGGGUAACACUAACUGGAGGACCGAACCGACUAAUGUUGAAAAAUUAGCGGAUGACUUGUGGCUGGGGGUGAAAGGCCAAUCAAACCGGGAGAUAGCUGGUUCUCCCCGAAAGCUAUUUAGGUAGCGCCUCGUGAAUUCAUCUCCGGGGGUAGAGCACUGUUUCGGCAAGGGGGUCAUCCCGACUUACCAACCCGAUGCAAACUGCGAAUACCGGAGAAUGUUAUCACGGGAGACACACGGCGGGUGCUAACGUCCGUCGUGAAGAGGGAAACAACCCAGACCGCCAGCUAAGGUCCCAAAGUCAUGGUUAAGUGGGAAACGAUGUGGGAAGGCCCAGACAGCCAGGAUGUUGGCUUAGAAGCAGCCAUCAUUUAAAGAAAGCGUAAUAGCUCACUGGUCGAGUCGGCCUGCGCGGAAGAUGUAACGGGGCUAAACCAUGCACCGAAGCUGCGGCAGCGACGCUGAUGCGUUGUUGGGUAGGGGAGCGUUCUGUAAGCCUGCGAAGGUGUGCUGUGAGGCAUGCUGGAGGUAUCAGAAGUGCGAAUGCUGACAUAAGUAACGAUAAAGCGGGUGAAAAGCCCGCUCGCCGGAAGACCAAGGGUUCCUGUCCAACGUUAAUCGGGGCAGGGUGAGUCGACCCCUAAGGCGAGGCCGAAAGGCGUAGUCGAUGGGAAACAGGUUAAUAUUCCUGUACUUGGUGUUACUGCGAAGGGGGGACGGAGAAGGCUAUGUUGGCCGGGCGACGGUUGUCCCGGUUUAAGCGUGUAGGCUGGUUUUCCAGGCAAAUCCGGAAAAUCAAGGCUGAGGCGUGAUGACGAGGCACUGCGGUGCUGAAGCAACAAAUGCCCUGCUUCCAGGAAAAGCCUCUAAGCAUCAGGUAACAUCAAAUCGUACCCCAAACCGACACAGGUGGUCAGGUAGAGAAUACCAAGGCGCUUGAGAGAACUCGGGUGAAGGAACUAGGCAAAAUGGUGCCG